CUAUAAAAAUAAAAGGAAACCCUUGGGGCCCUGGUGUGCAAUGGUUGCAAACAGCAGCCUCCUUGGUAGUGUACGCAGCCUGUUACCUGUACGGGUUGCCCUAAGGGACCUUGGAGACAAUU
Molecule: small nucleolar RNA, 122 nt
Filed under: Microtus ochrogaster (prairie vole)
Lineage: Eukaryota; Metazoa; Chordata; Mammalia; Rodentia; Cricetidae
Description: Small nucleolar RNA SNORA70 (ENSMOCG00000005774.1)
Rfam family: Small nucleolar RNA SNORA70
About the family: snoRNA U70 seems to be exclusive to mammals and is a member of the H/ACA class of snoRNA which contain H (ANANNA) and ACA box motifs. H/ACA box snoRNAs are involved in the conversion of uridines to pseudouridines (5-ribosyluracil) a constituent of structural RNAs (transfer, ribosomal, small nuclear, and small nucleolar).
Source: RNAcentral